RNAcentral lists this ribosomal RNA (468 nucleotides) under uncultured bacterium. RNAcentral's name for it is "partial 16S ribosomal RNA". It matches the Rfam family "Bacterial small subunit ribosomal RNA", at positions 28 to 507 of the family's 1533-position model. The record is from RNAcentral.
GACGAACGCUGGCGGCGUGCUUAACACAUGCAAGUCGAACGGAAAGGCCCUGCUUUUGUUCGGUGCUCGAUUGGCGAACGGGGGAGUAACACGUGAGUAACCUGCCCUUGACUUUGGGAUAACUUCAGGAAACUGGGGCUAAUACCGGAUAGGAGCUCCUGCUGCAUGGUGGGGGUUGGAAAGUUUCGGCGGUUUGGGAUGGUUUCGCGGCUUAUCAGCUUGUUAGUCGGGUAGUGGCUUACCAAGGCUUUGACGGGUAGCCGGCAUGAGAGCGUGACCGGGCACAAUGGGCCUGCGAGACGGACCAGUAGGGUACCGGAGGCAGUAGGCGGAAACCUUACGGAGCGGGGCCGCGUGUGUUACGACAACGUUGGGUGCGGGAUGCUGGGUUAUGAGGUGAGAACAGCUUUCGAAGGUGCUGAACAGGGCGUGACGGUAAUGGGUCAAGAAGCCACGGCUAACUACGUG